Molecule: ribosomal RNA, 253 nt
Filed under: uncultured bacterium
Lineage: Bacteria
Description: partial 16S ribosomal RNA
Rfam family: Bacterial small subunit ribosomal RNA
Source: RNAcentral
UACGUAGGGUGCAAGCGUUAAUCGGAAUUACUGGGCGUAAAGCGUGCGCAGGCGGUGAUGUAAGACAGUUGUGAAAUCCCCGGGCUCAACCUGGGAACUGCAUCUGUGACUGCAUCGCUGGAGUGCGGCAGAGGGGGAUGGAAUUCCGCGUGUAGCAGUGAAAUGCGUAGAUAUGCGGAGGAACACCGAUGGCGAAGGCAAUCCCCUGGGCCUGCACUGACGCUGAGACUCGAAAGCGUGGGGAGCAAACAGG